Long non-coding RNA from Neofelis nebulosa (Clouded leopard), 568 nucleotides. RefSeq lists it as uncharacterized. NCBI's taxonomy places the organism in Eukaryota, Metazoa, Chordata, Mammalia, Carnivora, Felidae. The record is from RefSeq and is a predicted model, not a curated record. The transcript has 5 exons.
AGCCCCAAAAAGGGUCAUGAUUCUUAAAGAAAGGUUUGAAAAUCCCAUGGAGAUGAUGUCAAGGAUUUAAAAAUCUGAAAGAUAUUACAAGACUCUAUGAGUAAGAAACAAGAACAAAAUACUGAGAGUGAUCAUUAGCACAACAUAUAAUGGAAGUUCCCACGUGAAGAAGAGGCAGGAGGGGAGAUCUGAGACCUCUUACAGAGAGUAGCUGAGAUGUGUGUGGGAAGUUGACUUGAACAAGACCCGUGGCUUCUUAAAACUCUAGCAGGUAACAGAAUUUGAGGAGUGGGAUGCUGCCAGAAUUUGAGGAGUAAUUAAGAUUAUCAGUGAUGGAUACAUUGACUGUUGGGACUGUGCUCUCCAUAUUUUGAGGAAAAGGAUCCCACUUAGGAUACCAUGUUACAUUUAGUCAUCCUGUCUUCUUAGGCCCCUCUCCACUGUGAUGCUUCCUCAGACUUUUCUGGUUUUUGAUGACCUGGACCAUUGUGAGGAGUGCUGGGGCUGAGUGUAUCCUUUGGACAUUAGAGGCCAAUGACAGAAUUGACAAGGUACCUGAGACAAAUUG